RNAcentral lists this unclassified non-coding RNA (542 nucleotides) under Fusarium culmorum. Its description in RNAcentral is "sequence contains 18S rRNA gene, ITS1, 5.8S rRNA gene, ITS2, 28S rRNA gene". The stretch from base 190 to 343 matches the Rfam family "5.8S ribosomal RNA". The record is from RNAcentral. Lineage: Eukaryota; Fungi; Ascomycota; Sordariomycetes; Hypocreales; Nectriaceae.
GUAACAAGGUCUCCGUUGGUGAACCAGCGGAGGGAUCAUUACCGAGUUUACAACUCCCAAACCCCUGUGAACAUACCUUAUGUUGCCUCGGCGGAUCAGCCCGCGCCCCGUAAAAAGGGACGGCCCGCCGCAGGAACCCUAAACUCUGUUUUUAGUGGAACUUCUGAGUAUAAAAAACAAAUAAAUCAAAACUUUCAACAACGGAUCUCUUGGUUCUGGCAUCGAUGAAGAACGCAGCAAAAUGCGAUAAGUAAUGUGAAUUGCAGAAUUCAGUGAAUCAUCGAAUCUUUGAACGCACAUUGCGCCCGCCAGUAUUCUGGCGGGCAUGCCUGUUCGAGCGUCAUUUCAACCCUCAAGCCCAGCUUGGUGUUGGGAGCUGCAGUCCUGCUGCACUCCCCAAAUACAUUGGCGGUCACGUCGAGCUUCCAUAGCGUAGUAAUUUACAUAUCGUUACUGGUAAUCGUCGCGGCCACGCCGUUAAACCCCAACUUCUGAAUGUUGACCUCGGAUCAGGUAGGAAUACCCGCUGAACCUAAGCAUAU